CCGCGAGUGUUGAUAAACUGUAUAUCAAUGUUUUAUACUUUUUAUAAUAUAGCACAAAGAAAUAUAAACAAAGAAAUUUUCCCUGCUGACAUUGAGUCAACACGGCAAUAACUAUAUAUACCUGAACACCAAUAUGAUUUGCUAUUAUAAAAAAUUUAAAAUUUUUGUGCAAAGCGUCUAUGGUAAUAAUUGAGUAAGCUAAAGUUUAUAAAUUCGCGCUACAUGUACUCAUGACUAUAAUAUAGACCGUAGUCAUAAUUCGCAAUCGAGGCCCCGUAUCCUAGGAAACGGGAAUAAACGCGAGAAAAUUGCCGGUUAUAAAAUAGAGUAAGGUGACUAGAAAUCAACGUGUUUUCCAAAAAUUAUGUGUAAAAUUAAUCACAUGCUUAUGUGAAGAUGUAUGGUCAUUUGUUUCUGACAUAUUUACCACUAGAAAUGCUGGGCUGAAUCGAGAA
Molecule: non-coding RNA, 455 nt
Organism: Paramuricea clavata
Lineage: Eukaryota; Metazoa; Cnidaria; Anthozoa; Malacalcyonacea; Plexauridae
Source: the annotation of a GenBank genome assembly